AAAAUCCACAUACAAUAUUGGAGUGGAUUUUCUCACCAACUGAUCAUUAUUCAUAAAUGUGAAACCCUUGUACAUCCCAACACCUUCUCAGCAUUGAUUUCAGGAAAUUCGAUCGAGGCGGCACGAGCGAGGAAGCAAUCACGAGCAAGGAAGCGACAGUUAUGCGUUCGAGUUUUUUUCGGUACAGCAGUGCACUGUCUAUAUUGAGCAAUUCCUGGUAAAAGUGCAGGAAAUUUCUGACGAUAGCGUGUGAAUUUGAUUGGGUCAAAGGAACGAGAUAGGUAUCCGUUGAUAUUAUAGACUAAUAGGUGAAGUUUGUAGCCCUGGUUUAAUUUAAUUUGGAGUGUAAGGAAAAGAAGAAGACGUUUGCCUAUAUAGAUCUUUGUGUAAGCUGCUGAGUUGGAAAUUUCGUCAGUGGUGAUUGGCCAUCAAUUUAUGAUGGAUGAAGCUUCAAGCAACUUGAACUCAUUGCCUCCCUUCCUUGCCAAGACGUAUGAAAUGGUGGAGGAUCAUACUAUUGACUCGGUUGUAUCUUGGAGUGAGAACAAUAAGAGCUUUAUUGUGCAGAACCCCCCAGAAUUUGCGAGAGAAAUUCUCCCCAAAUUCUUUAAGCACAACAAUUUCUCCAGCUUUAUUAGGCAGCUCAAUACAUAUGGUUUCAGAAAGGUUGAUCCCGAACGUUGGGAAUUCGCAAAUGAGGAUUUCUUGAGAGGGCAUCCCCACCUUUUGAAGAAUAUCCAUAGGCGAAAGCCUGUUUACAGCCACUCCACACCAAAUCUUGCCUCAUUGCCUCCCCUAACUGAAUUGGAAAGGAAAGGAUACAAGGAGGAUAUUGAGAAACUAAAGUCUGAUAAAGAACUGCUUCAUGUGGAAUUACAGAGUUACAAAGAGGAGCAGCAAUUGGAAAUGAGGGCAGUCACUGAACGAAUGAGAAUCGUGGAAAAUCGCCAUUCAAAUAUGUUAUCCUCAUUGGCAAACACAGUACAGCAACUUGCUUUUUCAUUGGAUCUAAUGGCACAAGUGGAAGUUCAUUAUAGAAAAAGAAGAUUUCCAAGAAAUAGUCCGUUGCAUGAUGAAGCUGACACGGAGGAUAAUCAGAGGGCGUCUCAAAAUGUGACAGCUGAAAAUUCAGAUGCUAAUUCACUUCUGAAUUUCAACAAGGAAUCAUUGGAGCAGCUAGAGUCUUCUUUAUCAUUCUGGGAAAGAAUCAUACUUGAUGCUGGAGAAAGUUUGACCCAGCCUCUGGAUUCAACAUUGGGUGAAUCAGAAAGCUGUGCACUCAGUCCGAGCAUAUCUUACACGCAACUAAAUCUCGAUGUUGUAGGAAAGACCAUUGAUAUUGACAUGAAUUCUGAACCUCAAACUGCCAGUGUUCCGGAGGGGCAAUCUUCUUCUGAAGAACAAGCAGCAACGGACAGACAGGCAGGAGUCAAUGACAUAUUUUGGGAACAGUUUCUUACUGAAAAUCCUGGCUCAAAGGACCCCCCUGAAUUUCUCUCAGUGAAAAAAGAUACACAAGACAAGAAAAAUGACAACAAACCGGGUGACCACUCAAUACGUUGGUGGCAAACAAGGAGUGUAGAUAACCUUACUGAACAGUUGGGACAUCUUACUCCAGCACAAAAAACCUGAUCCUAGAUCAGUCUUCAGUUCAAAGCAUACCUCCAGGAAAACAUUGAUAAUGAGCUCAUGGUGUCCAUCCUGGUUCAACGUCAGGAUGAUUUGUCUCAGGAUUGCUGCUGCUACUGUUCUGCUUGAACCUGGAAAACCAGGAACCUGGAAGAACACGAGUGAUAAUGGAGGAGGCAUGAGGUGAAUAAGAAGAAGAAGAUGGAAUGUCCAAAUAUAUGUGCAAACUAAGCUACCUUCACAACACAGACACUGAAAUGGAGACAGAUGACAAUGCAACAUCACCAGCAAAUGCAUACCCAACUCCCAAUCCUCCCAAGUGCAAGGAAGCGGCGGCGCCGUCGCCGUCGCCCUCGCACCGCCGGAAAACCCGUGCCAGCGACG
Molecule: RNA transcript, 2013 nt
Organism: Andrographis paniculata
Lineage: Eukaryota; Viridiplantae; Streptophyta; Magnoliopsida; Lamiales; Acanthaceae
Gene name: heat stress transcription factor A-4c-like
Exons: 6
Source: RefSeq, a predicted model, not a curated record